Molecule: ribosomal RNA, 253 nt
Filed under: uncultured bacterium
Lineage: Bacteria
Description: partial 16S ribosomal RNA
Rfam family: Bacterial small subunit ribosomal RNA
Source: RNAcentral
GACAGAGGUGGCGAGCGUUGUUCGGAAUUACUGGGCUUAAAGGGCGAGUAGGCGGUGGAGCAAGUCUGAGGUGGAAUCUUAGGGCUUAACCCUAAAACUGCCUUAGAAACUGUUUUACUUGAGUCAGUGAGGGGAGGGCGGAAUUCCUGGUGUAGCGGUGAAAUGCGUAGAUAUCAGGAGGAAGGCCUGUGGCGAAGGCGGCCCUCUGGCACUGUACUGACGCUGAGGCGCGAAAGCGUGGGGAGCAAACAGG